RNAcentral lists this ribosomal RNA (253 nucleotides) under uncultured bacterium. Its description in RNAcentral is "partial 16S ribosomal RNA". It matches the Rfam family "Bacterial small subunit ribosomal RNA", at positions 524 to 776 of the family's 1533-position model. The record is from RNAcentral.
UACGGAGGGUGCAAGCGUUAUCCGGAUUCACUGGGUUUAAAGGGUGCGUAGGUGGGUCUGUAAGUCAGUGGUGAAAUCUCCGAGCUUAACUUGGGAACUGCCGUUGAUACUAUCUGUCUUGAAUAUUGUGGAGGUGAGCGGAAUAUGUCAUGUAGCGGUGAAAUGCUUAGAUAUGACAUAGAACACCAAUUGCGAAGGCAGCUCGCUACACAUAUAUUGACUCUGAGGCACGAAAGCGUGGGGAUCAAACAGG